CCGGCGCACGGGUGAGUAACGCGUAUCCAACCUGCCUCUGACUGAGGGAUAACCCGUCGAAAGUCGGCCUAAUACCUCAUGGCAUCGUCUGCGGGCAUCCAACGACGAUUAAAGAUUUCAUCGGUCAGGGAUGGGGAUGCGUCUGAUUAGCUUGUUGGCGGGGUAACGGCCCACCAAGGCUACGAUCAGUAGGGGUUCUGAGAGGAAGGUCCCCCACAUUGGAACUGAGACACGGUCCAAACUCCUACGGGAGGCAGCAGUG
RNAcentral lists this ribosomal RNA (262 nucleotides) under uncultured Prevotella sp. RNAcentral describes it as "partial 16S ribosomal RNA". It matches the Rfam family "Bacterial small subunit ribosomal RNA", at positions 95 to 356 of the family's 1533-position model. Lineage: Bacteria; Pseudomonadati; Bacteroidota; Bacteroidia; Bacteroidales; Prevotellaceae. The record is from RNAcentral.